CCUACGGGUGGCAGCAGUGGGGAAUAUUGCACAAUGGGGGAAACCCUGAUGCAGCGACGCCGCGUGAGUGAGGAAGUAUUUCGGUAUGUAAAGCUCUAUCAGCAGGGAAGAAAAUGACGGUACCUGACUAAGAAGCCCCGGCUAACUACGUGCCAGCAGCCGCGGUAAUACGUAGGGGGCAAGCGUUAUCCGGAUUUACUGGGUGUAAAGGGAGCGUAGACGGUUAAUCAAGUCAGAAGUGAAAACCCAGGGCUCAACCUUGGGACUGCUUUUGAAACUGAGUAACUGGAGUGCAGGAGAGGCAGGCGGAAUUCCUAGUGUAGCAGUGAAAUGCGUAGAUAUUAGGAGGAACACCAGUGGCGAAGGCGGCCUGCUGGACUGUAACUGACGUUGAGGCUCGAAAGCGUGGGGAGCAAACAGGAUUAGAUACCCUUGUAGUC
This 440-nucleotide ribosomal RNA is filed under the name uncultured bacterium. RNAcentral describes it as "partial 16S ribosomal RNA". It matches the Rfam family "Bacterial small subunit ribosomal RNA", at positions 338 to 795 of the family's 1533-position model. The record is from RNAcentral.